Molecule: transfer-messenger RNA, 380 nt
Filed under: bovine gut metagenome
Description: Alphaproteobacteria transfer-messenger RNA
Rfam family: Alphaproteobacteria transfer-messenger RNA
About the family: Bacterial tmRNA, also known as 10Sa RNA or SsrA, is named for its dual tRNA and mRNA-like properties. Its role is to liberate the mRNA from a stalled ribosome. To accomplish this part of the tmRNA is used as a reading frame that ends in a translation stop signal.
Source: RNAcentral
CUAUCGUGAUAAAAUAGGUAUGUACGCAAGUACUAUGGUAAUAAACGGUUCGCAGAAUAGUUUUCAUGGACCGGGGGGCGGUACCCCGCACUUCCACCAUUUUAUGGGAGUGAAAUAGGUUCGACAUGGGAAAGUAAAGGUGAAUUCGUUACUCGGCAUUGUUCCACCGUUAUCGGGCUAAAAAUUUAUAAUUGCCAACCUUAAUCGGAAAAGCAAUGGACGUCGCAGAGUUUCUAACCUUAACAGGAAAGAUGCUCAGAAAAAAGUUGCGUAAUUGUUAUUAAUUCCUUCUUUAAGGAUUAGUUAAUAUUACCAAUGCCGUUAUGUUAAAAUGACGGUAACGUCGUGCGGUCUGGGGACGCCGAGCAACAGAAGUCCCC